AUUGAACGCUGGCGGCAGGCUUAACACAUGCAAGUCGAGCGGAGCGAGGGUGCUUGCACCUUAGCUUAGCGGCGGACGGGUGAGUAAUGCUUAGGAAUCUGCCUAUUAGUGGGGGACAACAUUCCGAAAGGAAUGCUAAUACCGCAUACGCCCUACGGGGGAAAGCAGGGGAUCUUCGGACCUUGCGCUAAUAGAUGAGCCUAAGUCGGAUUAGCUAGUUGGUGGGGUAAAGGCCUACCAAGGCGACGAUCUGUAGCGGGUCUGAGAGGAUGAUCCGCCACACUGGGACUGAGACACGGCCCAGACUCCUACGGGAGGCAGCAGUGGGGAAUAUUGGACAAUGGGCGGAAGCCUGAUCCAGCCAUGCCGCGUGUGUGAAGAAGGCCUCUUGGUUGUAAAGCACUUUAAGCGAGGAGGAGGCUACUUAGAUUAAUACUCUGGGAUAGUGGACGUUGCUCGCAGAAUAAGCACCGGCUAACUCUGUGCCAGCCGCCGCAGUAA
This 501-nucleotide ribosomal RNA is filed under the name uncultured bacterium. RNAcentral's name for it is "partial 16S ribosomal RNA". It matches the Rfam family "Bacterial small subunit ribosomal RNA", at positions 30 to 523 of the family's 1533-position model. The record is from RNAcentral.